RNAcentral lists this ribosomal RNA (2926 nucleotides) under Escherichia coli. Its description in RNAcentral is "23S ribosomal RNA". It matches the Rfam family "Bacterial large subunit ribosomal RNA". The record is from RNAcentral. Lineage: Bacteria; Pseudomonadati; Pseudomonadota; Gammaproteobacteria; Enterobacterales; Enterobacteriaceae.
GGGUUGUGAGGUUAAGCGACUAAGCGUACACGGUGGAUGCCCUGGCAGUCAGAGGCGAUGAAGGACGUGCUAAUCUGCGAUAAGCGUCGGUAAGGUGAUAUGAACCGUUAUAACCGGCGAUUUCCGAAUGGGGAAACCCAGUGUGAUUCGUCACACUAUCAUUAACUGAAUCCAUAGGUUAAUGAGGCGAACCGGGGGAACUGAAACAUCUAAGUACCCCGAGGAAAAGAAAUCAACCGAGAUUCCCCCAGUAGCGGCGAGCGAACGGGGAGCAGCCCAGAGCCUGAAUCAGUGUGUGUGUUAGUGGAAGCGUCUGGAAAGGCGCGCGAUACAGGGUGACAGCCCCGUACACAAAAUGCACAUGCUGUGAGCUCGAUGAGUAGGGCGGGACACGUGGUAUCCUGUCUGAAUAUGGGGACCAUCCUCCAAGGCUAAAUACUCCUGACUGACCGAUAGUGAACCAGUACCGUGAGGGAAAGGCGAAAAGAACCCCGGCGAGGGGAGUGAAAAGAACCUGAAACCGUGUACGUACAAGCAGUGGGAGCACGCUUAGGCGUGUGACUGCGUACCUUUUGUAUAAUGGGUCAGCGACUUAUAUUCUGUAGCAAGGUUAACCGAAUAGGGGAGCCGAAGGGAAACCGAGUCUUAACUGGGCGUUAAGUUGCAGGGUAUAGACCCGAAACCCGGUGAUCUAGCCAUGGGCAGGUUGAAGGUUGGGUAACACUAACUGGAGGACCGAACCGACUAAUGUUGAAAAAUUAGCGGAUGACUUGUGGCUGGGGGUGAAAGGCCAAUCAAACCGGGAGAUAGCUGGUUCUCCCCGAAAGCUAUUUAGGUAGCGCCUCGUGAAUUCAUCUCCGGGGGUAGAGCACUGUUUCGGCAAGGGGGUCAUCCCGACUUACCAACCCGAUGCAAACUGCGAAUACCGGAGAAUGUUAUCACGGGAGACACACGGCGGGUGCUAACGUCCGUCGUGAAGAGGGAAACAACCCAGACCGCCAGCUAAGGUCCCAAAGUCAUGGUUAAGUGGGAAACGAUGUGGGAAGGCCCAGACAGCCAGGAUGUUGGCUUAGAAGCAGCCAUCAUUUAAAGAAAGCGUAAUAGCUCACUGGUCGAGUCGGCCUGCGCGGAAGAUGUAACGGGGCUAAACCAUGCACCGAAGCUGCGGCAGCGACGCUUAUGCGUUGUUGGGUAGGGGAGCGUUCUGUAAGCCUGUGAAGGUGUGCUGUGAGGCAUGCUGGAGGUAUCAGAAGUGCGAAUGCUGACAUAAGUAACGAUAAAGCGGGUGAAAAGCCCGCUCGCCGGAAGACCAAGGGUUCCUGUCCAACGUUAAUCGGGGCAGGGUGAGUCGACCCUAAGGCGAGGCCGAAAGGCGUAGUCGAUGGGAAACAGGUUAAUAUUCCUGUACUUGGUGUUACUGCGAAGGGGGGACGGAGAAGGCUAUGUUGGCCGGGCGACGGUUGUCCCGGUUUAAGCGUGUAGGCUGGUUUUCCAGGCAAAUCCGGAAAAUCAAGGCUGAGGCGUGAUGACGAGGCACUACGGUGCUGAAGCAACAAAUGCCCUGCUUCCAGGAAAAGCCUCUAAGCAUCAGGUAACAUCAAAUCGUACCCCAAACCGACACAGGUGGUCAGGUAGAGAAUACCAAGGCGCUUGAGAGAACUCGGGUGAAGGAACUAGGCAAAAUGGUGCCGUAACUUCGGGAGAAGGCACGCUGAUAUGUAGGUGAAGCGACUUGCUCGUGGAGCUGAAAUCAGUCGAAGAUACCAGCUGGCUGCAACUGUUUAUUAAAAACACAGCACUGUGCAAACACGAAAGUGGACGUAUACGGUGUGACGCCUGCCCGGUGCCGGAAGGUUAAUUGAUGGGGUCAGCGCAAGCGAAGCUCUUGAUCGAAGCCCCGGUAAACGGCGGCCGUAACUAUAACGGUCCUAAGGUAGCGAAAUUCCUUGUCGGGUAAGUUCCGACCUGCACGAAUGGCGUAAUGAUGGCCAGGCUGUCUCCACCCGAGACUCAGUGAAAUUGAACUCGCUGUGAAGAUGCAGUGUACCCGCGGCAAGACGGAAAGACCCCGUGAACCUUUACUAUAGCUUGACACUGAACAUUGAGCCUUGAUGUGUAGGAUAGGUGGGAGGCUUAGAAGUGUGGACGCCAGUCUGCAUGGAGCCGACCUUGAAAUACCACCCUUUAAUGUUUGAUGUUCUAACGUUGACCCGUAAUCCGGGUUGCGGACAGUGUCUGGUGGGUAGUUUGACUGGGGCGGUCUCCUCCUAAAGAGUAACGGAGGAGCACGAAGGUUGGCUAAUCCUGGUCGGACAUCAGGAGGUUAGUGCAAUGGCAUAAGCCAGCUUGACUGCGAGCGUGACGGCGCGAGCAGGUGCGAAAGCAGGUCAUAGUGAUCCGGUGGUUCUGAAUGGAAGGGCCAUCGCUCAACGGAUAAAAGGUACUCCGGGGAUAACAGGCUGAUACCGCCCAAGAGUUCAUAUCGACGGCGGUGUUUGGCACCUCGAUGUCGGCUCAUCACAUCCUGGGGCUGAAGUAGGUCCCAAGGGUAUGGCUGUUCGCCAUUUAAAGUGGUACGCGAGCUGGGUUUAGAACGUCGUGAGACAGUUCGGUCCCUAUCUGCCGUGGGCGCUGGAGAACUGAGGGGGGCUGCUCCUAGUACGAGAGGACCGGAGUGGACGCAUCACUGGUGUUCGGGUUGUCAUGCCAAUGGCACUGCCCGGUAGCUAAAUGCGGAAGAGAUAAGUGCUGAAAGCAUCUAAGCACGAAACUUGCCCCGAGAUGAGUUCUCCCUGACCCUUUAAGGGUCCUGAAGGAACGUUGAAGACGACGACGUUGAUAGGCCGGGUGUGUAAGCGCAGCGAUGCGUUGAGCUAACCGGUACUAAUGAACCGUGAGGCUUAACCUUACAACGCCGAAGGUGUUU